ACGGAGAGUUUGAUCCUGGCUCAGGAUGAACGCUGGCGGCGUGCUUAACACAUGCAAGUCGAACGAUAUAGUGGCAGACGGGUGAGUAACGCGUGGGAAUCUACCCAUCUCUACGGGAUAGCUCCGGGAAACUGGAAUUAAUACCGUAUACGUCCUGAGGGAGAAAGAUUUAUCGGGGAUGGAUGAGCCCGCGUUGGAUUAGCUAGUU
Molecule: ribosomal RNA, 208 nt
Filed under: Ochromonas sp. CCMP1393
Lineage: Eukaryota; Chrysophyceae; Chromulinales; Chromulinaceae
Description: partial Bacterial small subunit ribosomal RNA
Rfam family: Bacterial small subunit ribosomal RNA
Source: RNAcentral